AGUAGAUGACGGUACCUGGAGAAGAAGCACCGGCUAACUACGUGCCAGCAGCCGCGGUAAUACGUAGGGUGCGAGCGUUAAUCGGAAUUACUGGGCGUAAAGCGUGCGCAGGCGGUUUUGUAAGUCAGAUGUGAAAUCCCCGGGCUCAACCUGGGAACUGCAUUUGAGACUGCAAGAC
RNAcentral lists this ribosomal RNA (178 nucleotides) under uncultured beta proteobacterium. RNAcentral's name for it is "partial 16S ribosomal RNA". It matches the Rfam family "Bacterial small subunit ribosomal RNA", at positions 464 to 641 of the family's 1533-position model. The record is from RNAcentral. Lineage: Bacteria; Pseudomonadati; Pseudomonadota; Betaproteobacteria.